Molecule: long non-coding RNA, 526 nt
Filed under: Homo sapiens (human)
Lineage: Eukaryota; Metazoa; Chordata; Mammalia; Primates; Hominidae
Description: novel transcript
Source: RNAcentral
CUUCUUCCUGGGCAGCCACUGCACACGUGAGCCUGAGGGUAGCUGUGUUCCAGCUUUGCACAGAAAGCAGGUUUGGGAGAAUGAAGCCAGAGGCCAAGGAGAGAAUGCGGAAUCCUGGAGUGUUGAAGGCCCUUGUUUUGAUUCCUCGCGUCCUCCAGUCCAUCCUCAUUUUCUGGAGAGGCAGCGUGACCUAACGACGAAAGCCUCCACAACUGGUUUCUGUCGGUGUGAGUCCCAAAUCUGCCACUGGCUGGCUGGGAAACCUUGGUUUGGACGGAAGCCCAAGCAUCACUGAGCAAAGUCAGUAUCCUCCUAUACCUUGCUACUUAUUCUAAGUGUGUUUCAUGGACCAGCAAAAUGGACCUCAUCUAGGAGCUUGUUGGAAAUGCAGAAUCUCAGCCCGACUUACGGAAUCAGAAUCUACAUGUCAACAAGAUCCCCAGGGGCUGUGUGUGCACAUCAAAGUGUGAGAGUUUUCUGCCCUAGUGCCACUGCUUUAAGAACUACAGCUUGGUCAUCUCUAGAA